UUCGGCGCUGGGCAUGGAGAGAGGGGCGCGUAGCGGGGCUGGGGCCUCUGAGGCGGAGUUUGCCCCCGGCCCUGUGAGAGGCUUGGUAGUCAACUGGUCAGGUCAAGGAUUGCAAAAACUGGGUCCAACUUUACCCUGUGAUGCUGAUACUCACACUCUGAUUCUGGACAAAAACCAGAUAAUUAAAUUGGAACACUUGGAGAAAUGCAGGAAUCUGGUGCAGCUCUCUGUAGCCAACAAUCGUUUGGUGCGAAUGAUGGGUGUAGCAAAACUCACUAAACUUCGUGUGCUAAACUUGCCUCAUAAUAGUAUUGGGUAUGUGGAAGGGCUGAAGGAUUUGGUGCACCUGGAAUGGCUGAACUUGGCAGGAAAUAACCUGAAGGCCAUUGAACAAAUCAACUGCUGUGUGUCUCUUCAGCAUCUUGAUUUAUCAGACAAUAACAUAGCUCAAUUGGGCGAUCUCUCCAAGCUUACGUCACUGAAGACUCUGUUGCUACAUGGAAAUAUUAUAACUUCACUUCGCACUGCCCCUGUUUGCCUACCUCAGAAUCUGACUGUUCUUUCUUUAGCAGAAAAUGAAAUCAGAGACUUAAAUGAGGUUUCUUUCCUGGCCUGUCUUCAUCAAUUGGAACAGCUGUCAGUUAUGAACAAUCCUUGUGUAAUGGCCACACCUUCUGUCCCUGCCUUUGACUACAGGCCGUAUAUUGUCAGCUGGUGUCUGAACCUUAAAGUUCUUGAUGGAUAUGUGAUUUCUCAGAAGGAAAGUUUGAAAGCAGAAUGGCUCUACAGUCAAGGUAAAGGAAGAUCAUAUCGACCUGGGCAGCAUGUUCAGCUAGUUCAGUACUUGGCUACUGUUUGUCCUCUUAUAUCUACAUACGGUCUCCAGACUGAAGAGGAUGCCAAACUGGAAAAAAUACUCAGUAAGCAGAGGCUCCACCAGAGGCAGUUGAUGCAUCAGAACCAAAAUGAAGGAGCUCCUGCGUCUUCUACUCCUAACAAAACCCUGCCAGUUGCUUAUGAACACAGCAGUCCAGCCCAGCCGCCACAGAUAGUUCUUGAAAGUGAGCCUAUCAUCCAGAAGAAUUCUUGGGUUGGACCAAGUGUAAAUGACGAUCAUUCCUAUGCAGUAAAGAACACUUUUCUUCCUGAAAGAAGUUUUCAAAAGGAGCUAUACCUUGAAGAUAUACAGGUUGAUGAAGACAAACUAAACAGCAGCCUUUUAUCCUCAGAGUCUACUUUCAUGCCAGUUGCUUCAGGGUUGUCUCCGGUGUCUCCUACUUCAGACCUGAAGCUACAUGGAAUCAAUUUGAGCCUGGAAGAUGCCGAUGAUACAGUAUUUGAAUGUGUGAGAGAUGUUAAUAGUGGGGAAAUAGCUAAUAAGCAAGAAACUUUAUGUAUUACAAGAGAGGACUGUAACAGAGGAGUGGAAAGUGAGAGAACUCAAGAGAACGUCAAAGAGAGUAUGCUGUUGCCUUCUACUGAUCCAGUAACAUCUAGCCUGACUGCUAAUACUGGUGAUAGUUCAGCAUCCUCUGAAGACCGGAUUCUUCAUAGUCAGCCCAGCACCUCAGCAGGUGCUGAAUCAGGAGUUAUGACUCUCUGUCCUGACCAGAUGGCAGGAGAAAGUUCCGAUUCUUUAACUGUUGUCGCAGCUGAACUGGAAAGAAUGACUAAAGCAGCUACUAAGCUUCAGGCCUGCUGGAGAGGAUUUUACACAAGGAACUACCAUCCCCGAGCCAAGGAAGUGCGUUAUGAAAUUCGGCUAAACAGAAUGCAGGAGCAUAUAAUUUGCUUAAGUGAUGAAAUAGAAAAGCUAAGACAAGAAAGAGAGGAAGAUAAGAUUCAGAGGCUUGUACAGGAAGAAGCUGUCAGAUUUCUUUGGAACCAGGUUAAAUCCCUUCAACAAUGGCAGCUUUCAGUGACACAAAAUUCAGGUGCCACUUGGCAACCUGGGAUCCUUUCAGCCAAUAAUUUCUGUCCAUCCGAACCAUCUAUUCAAUCAUUCAUUCUUGAGCAAGAAACCCCACCGGAUGUUAGUGCUGCUUGCUUAGUUCCAGCUAGCGAUAUUCUUCAGGUAAAGUCUUUGUCACGAUUCCCAGAUUCUGGUUUUCAUACUUCCAUGGCUGAUCAGACUCACGGUGGUGACUUGUGUAGCUCUGAAAAGAGCUUAACAGAAAGAAUGGAGAGUUCUCUUUCAGUGGAGACUGUCAAACAGUGUGACAACUCUGUUUCAUCAUAUUCUUCAGAUGUAGAGGAUGACCAUGGGGAAUCUGGGCAAAGUAAAGAGAGCUCUAGCAAUGAGCAGGACAACAGACUAAUACAACAGUAUUUGAAAUCUGUUCAGCAGCUGGAAGAGGCUGAUGAAGGAUCAAAUUGCAAUGAUGAAACAGGGGGAUGCUGGCCUCCAAUCGCUGUUUCAGCAGAAAGCCAAGAGUCUUCAACUGAUGCUGUCUCUGUAGAUCUCCUUCAGGAUACAUCUUCCCCUGCCCGAGGUGAAAUGGGUCAGACACCAGAAAGCUGCAAACUGAAUUCGGGAAUAGUAGAAGGGAAGCAAACAGACUGUGAUUCUUCAUUUCAAAUGCUGCAUGUUGGGAUAGCUGUAUAGUAGGCUCAGUUCCACAGAGGACUAGGGAUUCCAUUUCACUUUAUUUUUCCUGUUUACACAAAACGUAUUUUUCCUGUGUGCUCUUUCAGAUUUUUGACUCGUGUUAACAAUUUAUGGUUUAAUUAGUAUUUUAUUGAUGUUGCUGAGGGCUGAUACUAACUAUGCUAAUCUGAAAUCAGCAAAGUUCUCAGUGACGGUCAUUAUGCACUUUAUUUUCAAAUGUAAAACUGAUAACCUAAUAACUGGCUUCCACUAAGUUAAUUCUGAAGAUUAGGGGUAUUGUGGGGGUGGUAUUUGCUGUAAAUUCACUUCAGUGAAUGUAUUAGUCUUCGAAUUUUUUUCUAAAAAGCAGGACUGAGUUCUUUGCAAAGAGAAGGAAAUGUUACGGAAUGAAACCACAUCAAUAUAGGCAGCAUAUGUGUGUAUGGAUACAACCUGAUCAGAGAGACGAAAGCAGUUGCCUUUUAGACUUCUUUUGACUUCAACAAGGGUAGUUUGAUCAGUGUUUCAAAGAUGCAUUCCAUGAAACCAGUGUCCAAGUUGGUGACUUCUGUUUGUCAUUUACAUGAAGCUGCUGGCUAGGACUAAAGUCACUUAUGUAUGCACUGAAAACAGGAAUCAGACCUCAGGAAGCUUCAAACAAACUUUGACCUUUGUUUGUCCUGAGUUUGAAUCUCUCUGCUUUCUCAGGUAAGACUCAAAAUGGAACCAAUAGCAGCCUUUACUAAAUAAGAAUUUCCAAAAGGCAUGUGAUGUGGGAACACAGUUUCCAAGGCUGCACUUCUGGGUUCUAGCAGCAGACGUGGUGACACGUAUUUGGUGGAUGACAACUACUUCUGUCUACAGGUAUAAAUGUUAAAAGCAAAUGUCGUGACUUAAAACUAUUUCUUGGCAUCUCUUUUGGUUUGGGUUUUUUUGGUUUUCCCGUGUCCAGUUUUGACAUUCUAAUUAGAUGUGGAUAAAAAGCUAUAUUUCUUCCCUGUUGGCAAAUGAGCUAAGUUACUUAGGCUGUGCUUUCCACUUGAACCCUGGGCAAGCAGUAGGGUUUGUAUUUUGCCUACCCAUUGCUGUGGUGUUUUUCAACAGAAAAAGAUCAGGUAUCUCAGUAUGCCAUAAAAGUGGCAAGGGAAAUCUGUUUUGCCAUGCGAUUUCUAAUUGACACUAGUAAAAUAAAAGUUGCUGUUGUGACUUUUAGGGGUCAAUUCAGUUUGCUAAUACUGCAUUUUGCAAUAUGCACUGGAAGGGCCAGUUUUUCAAAUGUGUUAGUAUUAACUCCUUAGAUAUAGAGACACAUGCGUAUUUUCUGAAUCUGCAGGUUACCUUCUGGUGCUAUGGUGUCCUUAAAAUCAACUAGUGCUGUUUUAAAGUGACUAAUGACCAUGUUGCCAUGAAUUUAAUUUUUAUAAAAGCUUUGGUUGUUUGUCUAGUUUGAGCUGAAAUUUACCACUACUUAGGAGUUUGGCCUGAGGCCAGUAUCCACUUGAGGCCUCAAAAUAGCCUUUAUUUAGAACAUAAAUGGUGUAUUGGACUUGUACCAGCCAUCUAUCCAGUGGUGAAGCUCACCUUGGAAGAAUAAAGCUUGCUUCUGUGUACAGGGUGGCCAUUAUCUCUUUUUUUCCCACCCUCCAAAAAAAUAAGUUCUAGGGCACUAUCUUCUCCAAAGAGCUGUCAUUGCUGUCAAGCUGAUGUUUGACUGUGCCUUGCAUGCAUGACAGCAUUUUAAAAAAAGACAAAAAACAAAACAGCCGAGGUGAUAGAUUCUUCAUGUGUUCUCUUUUAGUCUAGGUACAGCACACUUGUAGCAUAACCAUAUUCAUAAUUAGGUCUUAGAGCAUGAGUGUGCCUGGGAAUUGAAAGUGGUACAGGUGCAUUAACGUAUCGCAACAUCUAAUUAACCACGCAAAGAGGUGUGUAGGCUACAUGAUCAUACCCUGGUCCCAAAGGUUCUCAACUUGUGUUUAAGUAUGCCUUGCUGGGAGAUCUCCACAGUUCAUUAGAUUUAGCUCUUUGACUGACAAUCUGUUAUUAAAAACAAAACAAACAAAAAAAAUUGUGUAAAACUUUUAAAGAGACUCUUUGAGUUUUGAGAGAGAUUUGUUAAACAGUGGUUGGACCUUAUGCUCUGGAAGCAGUUAUUAGGUGUAGUAAAACAGUAAGUUCUCUUUUGUGGCCGAGUGCUGUAUUAGCAUAUGCAAAAACUGGGAGAAAUUAGACCACUGUCUGGAUAAAAAUGUUUCACUAGCUGUAGACACUGAGGGACUAUAUAUAUUUUGCUAUUUUGUUUUAUUGUCACUUUUUGCUGCAGAAUUUGGAAGAGGAGAAACAACUUUAAUUUUGGAGGUCUCAGAAGGGGAAACUAGAUGAAGCUGAAUUUUUCAUGGAAGGCCUAGACAUUUCUUGACGUUGCCCCGGUUACUGGGGCUUGCAAACGCCAACACAAAGACUUUUUUUUAACUAAUGCCUAGGUCAGCUGCUGGCUUUUUAAACUUGUAACCCAUAUAUCCAGAAUCAAUUUUGUGAAGAUCCAUCCAAGUUUGUACCAACAUAUAAUUAGCUUCAUCUUAGUCUUGUGGGAAAGCUGUGAAAUAUAAAAGAUUUUUUUUCAUGAUGAUCUGAAAAGUAUCUUGCAUGUGUAGAAGAUGAGCUACCUAAAUAUAAAGAAAUUGCAAAGAGUGAAGUUUUGGAUUAGUUUCUACAGGGUCAAAUGUAAUUAGUUUGUAUAUAGACAAAAUAUUUUCAUCCUGACAACUAAAAUACAUACAGGGGAAGACGUAAUGGGAGAUAGAGUGGAAAAAUAAAGAAUCAAACUAGAUGUAUAGUUAAAAAUGACUUCAUUCAGUCAGUUUUGAGCUCUCAAUAGCGAUCUAGAGAUAUCAUAGUUUAACAUGCAGUUUAACAUUUACUCUUCUUUGUUUCUAUAAGUUUUCUUAACUAGGUAUGUAAUGGUCUUUUACCUGGAUAGGCAUGCACAUUUUCCUUUGGAGAUGAUGGAAAUUUCGUAAAGGAAUUGGAAAGCCUCAUAGAUGAAAAUCUAUGUCUGAAAUUUUUGCAUAUUUAAUAUUAUGGUCUUCAUAAUUUUCCUUUUGCAAGGUUUCACGUUCAACAGAAGAAUGUACUUUAUUACGGAAAAUCUUGUCUGUUGUAGUUUGUCCUGUGCUGGAUCAUCCAGUGCUGAUGGAAGAGAUUACAAAUAUGUGUCAGGCAAUGUUGUCGGCUCUGCUGUGAGUAAAGUUUAAGCACUUCUUUAAUUUGCUUCAGAAAAAUUGGCUAAAUAGAGCUCAGGCUAAAUAGUUACACCAUUCGACACAAGUAGUUUUUCUCCAAAUUAUGUGGUUGGCAUAUGCAAACCCUUUCAGCUAGUCUGUGGCAAACAUUACUCUGUUGCCACAGACAGAGGGACAAAAGGAAAAGUGGAAAUUUAUCCGUUUUCAGGUUUAAUUUGUGAUUGUAACACCAACUCUUCUAUGAUUGGUAUUUUGAUUUUCUCCCAAUCAUUUUUCUAGCUUAUUUCAAUACAUUUCAAUCCUGCAUGUAAUCAAGAAUGCAUUUUUUCUACUGUAUGUAAUAUUUGAUAGACAUUGUUUCAUGUGGUAUUUGGAAAGGUAAAAGAGUGUCAUGAAAGCAAGUCUGUUUGCAUUCUGUACUUCAAGGCUCUUUUAAGGUAUUUGGAUUGCAUUGAUUCCUCUCUGUUAGAUAACGUCUUUACAAAAGAAAAAUAUAAGGCAACGAACGCCUCGUUAAUGACAGUAAGUAAAUUUCUGUUUCUGCCUUUUUCCAUGAACUGAGCUUAAUAGUCACUGCUCUGGUUUUAGUACCUAAAUCUGUAAUAUAAAUGAACGAGAGAUUUCACUGCUGAUUGUAUGCAGCAAUUCUUAAUGGUUUGGGUUUGGUUUUUUUUUUGGUAUGGUAACUAUUCCUGUGUGGUGCUAUUUUGUAAACAAAGUAUGUGUGGCAAGCAUAGAAUUUAUAAGAGGUACCGAACGUUGGCUUAACUCUGCCUUCAUUUCCUUAGAAGAAGCAGAGUCAUGCUUCAGCUGAGUCCUUGUGAACUGGCUGUCUAAAUUGGGAUUUUAUCAUAUUUACAUCUCCAAAAGUGUUCUUAUAUCACAAACCAAGAAAGCAUUAAGACUGCAGACUUUAGUUUGUUUUUAAAAGACAAAUUUAUCUUUCAGCAAAUACUUGAGAGUCUUUGUUAAACUGAGUCGCAGAACCUGUUUGUUUAUAGUUAAGUUCCUUAAACAGCCAUAGAUUAUACUAUUUGCAUGCAGCAAUUUAAAUAAUACACUUAGCAGCCAGUCUGUCUGUAUAUAAACAAGUUUGCUAUUUUCCUGAAUAAUGUUGUAUAGAACUCAGCUCGCAAGUUGUUCCUGGUUUUUAUGAAUUUGUAUAUAUUGUCUGAAGAACUCCAGUCUUAAAUUCUACUUGUAGUAGGUUGUUUGAUGAACAAAAAUGGGAGAUACAUUCCUUUGGGAUUACGUGGGUACUUUUUACUGGACUUAAAGUUAUAACGAGUCUUGCACAAGUAGACAUUUUUCCUGAGAGGAUAGGAUUAUAGCAUUUAGUGGAGAUUAACUGAAGACAAAAUGUAAAAACUGGUCAGUUCCCUUGCUUUAGCUAGUGGAAAAGAGACUUUUUUCCUGUUGUAUUAGUGCUUUUUUUUUCCUCCCUUGAGGACUGUGCCACCCAAAUAAAUAAGAAUCAAAUAUUCAUGAAGUCUUUCAGUAAGUCUUCUUUAAUUAGUUACAGGGUUUUUUUUCCCCAGUUUGGCUUUCUAGAACAAGUUACUGAAAAAGCACUUGUUUUCUAUAUGCCUGUCAAAAAGCUGAGACCUUACAUUUUUAAAUACGUUCUUUAUGUCAGUAAUGGAAGAAGCACAGAAUCCUUUACGUGCAAAAGCAUAGAACAGUAUUUACCAGGAAAGGUGCUUUAUCUCUUGGAAAGUGCCAAGCCAAAUUUUAUUAUUUAAGAACUCUCAAAAAGAAACUUGUGUCUUCAUGACACUUAUAACUGUGUGGGCCAAAUUCACUUGUAGCAUAAUUCUAUUGAACUAAAUUUUGUUGAGCCUUUCACAGUAGUAGUCUACCUCUAAACUAGAAUCUGCAAAAAGAGCAAUUGGGCAUUGAUUUGUCUUUCUACUUCUCACUGUUUUCUGUGAAGAAUGGUGGGUGGUUAAAUUGGUACAGUUCAUAUAUUUUCUAUAAGUAUUUACACUUCUGGAUUUAUUGUUUCUUAAAUAUUUUGUUUGUACCUCUGAGUUUUGAAUUUUAAAUAAAUUAUUUGUACGUUUAUUGAAAGUGUUAAUUUGUACUUGAUCCUUAACGGCUAGUAGUCAUUCUCUUAUGCUUCGAGGGCUCUCUUGGAGACAAAAAGAUUAAAGUACAAAACCACUGAUGACAAGGUAAGCAUUAGCAUUCACGACUUGGUACAGCUGAGGCAUCUGAUGGCCCACUGUUUCAGUGUUGAAGACAGUAAGUGUGUGGUAGGGUACUCAAAUUUAUACACCAAUUGAUUAGCAGAUGUCACUGAAAUAGGUAUUCAUGACUUGCAGCCCUUUGUUUCUGUCACUGCCCCUCUCUUUCAUGUUUUUAAUUCUCUACUUUGUUUAAAUGAAAUAUGUGGCAGUAUUCUGCAUAGAGCUUUCUAGAAAGAGAACUAAGGCUAUGCGCUUAUCAAGAGAAAUACAACUGUUAUUCCCUCUCCUACUAUUUCGGUUUGCUCAGUUACCUGCUGUGGGCUUAAAAAGAUGAAUACUAACUUAACGUCUUUCAGGCUUUAAGAGACAAACAGUCCAGGAGCUCAGCCAUAUUUGAAAGUCAUGUUUUAAUGCAGGACUGUCACCCUAAAAGUAAAACAAACAAACAAAAAUUCCCCCCAAAUAACUUUGUUUUGCUUACCUCUUAUUUCACACAUGGAGGUUAGUGGGCAUUUUUUAUCUCUUUACUGUGUGUUUCUACUUCAUUACACUGAAGAAAUUAGCUGAGGUUUUUAAGUGAGACUCUUCUGUGAAGAUAUUUGAAAGAUGGAAAUGGAUGCAGCUACGGUGACUUCAAAUCUUAAAAGGGAAGAGCAGUGCUGUUUCUCUUGGAGUAGUUAAGACCUUAAAUUUGUACUAUUAAGUUUAAAUGCUUUAUAUUAUAGUGGUAGUAACCGUAACACUUGAGGAGCUUGGGCUGAAGGUCCCUCUUGUCCCUGUGUUUGAUUCAUGUUUGACAUAAAAAUAUUUGCCUACAGAUGGAAAAUAAAUGGAUAAAUUUGUCUAGUGGAUGGAACCAAUUUUGUUUAAAUGGAAAUAGUUUCUUUUAAUUUUAUGGGCUGAAAUCCUUACAUACCCUAAGGGCUGAGUUUGAUACAGUUGCAAAUGCACAAGCCACUAUGCUCAAAUAGAGCUUGCAUCAGUACCUCACUGGUUUCAAGCCAUAGUACUGCAUUUGUGAAGGCUCUGUGGCCAUAUAAUGCAUCCACCUGCCAUAUAAGUAGAAGGAAGUUUACUUUGGCCUAACUGGGACAGCACAUAGGGGUCUUAACAGCUCUUAAUAUGUGGCUUUCUCAACUUUAUUUGUCACUGAUGGAGCCCAUUCUUGCUUUCUGUCUAAAUCUUGGCAUGGGUUUUGCCUAUAAAUAAGGAUAUUUUCAGACAUGUCACUUGUGACACUCCAUUGUAAGUUCUUGUGAAUCUGGAAUGGUGCAUGUGACUGCAAACAAUCCACCGUGUUCUCCUUGGUCUAGGAGCAUCAAGACCAAUGGAGCCAACAUGCUGUGCUUGAUGAUUAUGCCUGUUGUCCCUUCUUGAGGAUUGCUAGGACCUUUCAGCUGAAGUUUUCCAGUCCCUUGAGAACUUGCAGCAUGUUUUCUGGUGUGGGAACUGCAUAAGCAAUGAGCCGAGGAGGUUGUCACUGCGUUUGUGUGGAGAGGCUAUGGGACCUGAGGAGAAACAGGAGACACUGAGAAACUGCAGCCUGAACUCUCUUCUUCCUUCCAUCAUUAGCUUGCACAGCCUCCUCAGAUUUAAGCAAACACAUGUGCUAUUGGAGCCCGUGUUUUCAAGAUCAGCUGUCUUGUAGUGCUUAGCUCC
Cuculus canorus (common cuckoo) is the source of this 9677-nucleotide RNA transcript. It is a transcript of the gene named centrosomal protein 97, with no coding region annotated. The record is from RefSeq and is a predicted model, not a curated record. The transcript is spliced from 12 exons. NCBI's taxonomy places the organism in Eukaryota, Metazoa, Chordata, Aves, Cuculiformes, Cuculidae.